CCUGGCGGCAAUAGCGCGGUGGUCCCACCUGACCCCAUGCCGAACUCAGAAGUGAAACGCCGUAGCGCCGAUGGUAG
Molecule: ribosomal RNA, 77 nt
Filed under: Klebsiella aerogenes
Lineage: Bacteria; Pseudomonadati; Pseudomonadota; Gammaproteobacteria; Enterobacterales; Enterobacteriaceae
Also listed under: 1 other name
Source: RNAcentral